AAGAAUUUAUACUGGUUCAGUUGUCAACUUGACAACCUACAUCCAGUCCUGCAAAUCCAAACGGAUUUCAGAUUUUCUUCUCCAAUAGAAAGAAUCAAUUACAAAUUGUCCAGUUUCCUCCCCGAAACCUAUCUAUCUUAAUGAUCUCUUUCCUAUUGAUCACCCUCUGAUCCUUGUAGAUACUCGUCAAUCUAACACAGAAUCA
RNAcentral lists this long non-coding RNA (205 nucleotides) under Cicer arietinum (chickpea). Its description in RNAcentral is "long non-coding RNA (CARI_LNC000912)". The record is from RNAcentral. Lineage: Eukaryota; Viridiplantae; Streptophyta; Magnoliopsida; Fabales; Fabaceae.